AUUGAACGCUGGCGGCAGGCUUAACACAUGCAAGUCGAGCGGAGACUUCGGUCUUAGCGGCGAACGGGUGAGGAAUGCCUGGGAAUCUGCCUGGUAUGGGGGAUAACGUUCCGAAAGGAACGCUAAUACCGCAUACGUCCUACGGGAGAAAGCAGGGGGACCUUCGGGCCUUGCGCUAUCAGAUGAGCCCAGGUCGGAUUAGCUAGUAGGUGAGGUAAAGGCUCACCUAGGCGACGAUCCGUAGCUGGUCUGAGAGGAUGAUCAGCCACACUGGAACUGAGACACGGUCCAGACUCCAC
RNAcentral lists this ribosomal RNA (299 nucleotides) under uncultured bacterium. Its description in RNAcentral is "partial 16S ribosomal RNA". It matches the Rfam family "Bacterial small subunit ribosomal RNA", at positions 30 to 341 of the family's 1533-position model. The record is from RNAcentral.